Molecule: ribosomal RNA, 253 nt
Filed under: uncultured bacterium
Lineage: Bacteria
Description: partial 16S ribosomal RNA
Rfam family: Bacterial small subunit ribosomal RNA
Source: RNAcentral
GACAGAGGGUGCAAACGUUGCUCGGAAUCACUGGGCGUAAAGGGCGUGUAGGCGGGAAGGAAAGUCAGAUGUGAAAUCCCUGGGCUCAACCCAGGAACUGCAUUUGAAACUCCCUUUCUUGAGUGUCGGAGAGGAAAGCGGAAUUCCUGGUGUAGAGGUGAAAUUCGUAGAUAUCAGGAGGAACAUCUGCGGCGAAGGCGGCUUCCUGGCUCAUUACUGACGUUCAGGUACGAAAGCGUGGGUAGCAAACAGG